RNAcentral lists this ribosomal RNA (415 nucleotides) under uncultured crenarchaeote. RNAcentral describes it as "partial 16S ribosomal RNA". It matches the Rfam family "Archaeal small subunit ribosomal RNA", at positions 330 to 747 of the family's 1478-position model. The record is from RNAcentral. Lineage: Archaea; Thermoproteati; Thermoproteota.
GCGCAGCAGUCGCGAAAACUCCGCAAUGCACGAAAGUGUGACGGGGCUACCCCGAGUGCCGUCCGCUGAGGAUGGCUUUUCCUCGGUGUAACUAGCCGGGGGAAUAAGGGGAGGGCAAGACUGGUGUCAGCCGCCGCGGUAAUACCAGCUCUCCGAGUGGUAGGGAUGAUUAUUGGGCUUAAAGCGUCCGUAGCCGGCUUAGCAAGUCUCCUGUUAAAUUCAGCGACCUAAUCGUUGAGCCGCGGGAGAUACUACUAGGCUAGGAGGCGGGAGAGGCCGACGGUACUUCCGGGGUAGGGGUGAAAUCCUAUAAUCCCGGGCGGACCACCAGUGGCGAAGGCUGUCGGCUAGAACGCGCUCGACGGUGAGGGACGAAAGCUGGGGGAGUGAACCGGAUUAGAUACCCCCGUAGUCC